CCUUUGGGUCCAACCUCCCACCCGUGUUUAUUUUACCUUGUUGCUUCGGCGGGCCCGCCUUUACUGGCCGCCGGGGGGCUCACGCCCCCGGGCCCGCGCCCGCCGAAGACACCCCCGAACUCUGUCUGAAGAUUGAAGUCUGAGUGAAAAUAUAAAUUAUUUAAAACUUUCAACAACGGAUCUCUUGGUUCCGGCAUCGAUGAAGAACGCAGCGAAAUGCGAUACGUAAUGUGAAUUGCAAAUUCAGUGAAUCAUCGAGUCUUUGAACGCACAUUGCGCCCCCUGGUAUUCCGGGGGGCAUGCCUGUCCGAGCGUCAUUGCUGCCCUCAAGCCCGGCUUGUGUGUUGGGCCCCGUCCUCCGAUUCCGGGGGACGGGCCCGAAAGGCAGCGGCGGCACCGCGUCCGGUCCUCGAGCGUAUGGGGCUUUGUCACCCGCUCUGUAGGCCCGGCCGGCGCUUGCCGAUCAACCCAAAUUUUUAUCCAGGUUGACCUCGGAUCAGGUAGGGAUACCCGCUGAACUUAAGCAUAUCAAUAAGCGGAGGAA
Molecule: ribosomal RNA, 544 nt
Filed under: Penicillium polonicum
Lineage: Eukaryota; Fungi; Ascomycota; Eurotiomycetes; Eurotiales; Aspergillaceae
Description: eukaryotic LSU rRNA
Rfam family: 5.8S ribosomal RNA (bases 165-317)
Source: RNAcentral